This 253-nucleotide ribosomal RNA is filed under the name uncultured bacterium. Its description in RNAcentral is "partial 16S ribosomal RNA". It matches the Rfam family "Bacterial small subunit ribosomal RNA", at positions 524 to 776 of the family's 1533-position model. The record is from RNAcentral.
UACGAAGGGGGCGAGCGUUGUUCGGAAUUACUGGGCGUAAAGGGCGCGUAGGCGGCCGAUCAAGUCAGAUGUGAAAGUCCUGGGCUUAACCUGGGGACUGCAUUUGAUACUGAUUGGCUUGAAUUCGGGAGAGGAUAGCGGAAUUCCCAGUGUAGAGGUGAAAUUCGUAGAUAUUGGGAAGAGCACCGGUGGCGAAGGCGGCUAUCUGGACCGACAUUGACGCUGAGGCGCGAAAGCGUGGGGAGCAAACAGG